RNAcentral lists this ribosomal RNA (505 nucleotides) under Orthetrum melania. RNAcentral's name for it is "partial 16S ribosomal RNA". It matches the Rfam family "Bacterial large subunit ribosomal RNA", at positions 1819 to 2597 of the family's 2925-position model. The record is from RNAcentral. Lineage: Eukaryota; Metazoa; Arthropoda; Insecta; Odonata; Libellulidae.
GGCCUUUUGAAUUUAAUAUAAGGUCUGACCUGCCCAGUGAUAGUUUUAACGGCCGCGGUAUACUGACCGUGCAAAGGUAGCAUAAUCAUUAGUCUUUUAAUAGAGGGCUGGAAUGAAAGGUUUCACGAGGAACUGGCUGUCUCAUUUUAUUUGUUUUAAAAUUUAAUUUUUUAGUUAAAAAGCUAAAAUUUUAUUGGUAGACGAGAAGACCCUAUAGAGCUUUACAUAUAAUUAAAUAAAUAUUUUUAUAUUAAUAUUUUUAUUUAUUUUUGUGUUUUGUUGGGGUGACAAAAAUAUAUAACUAACUUUUUUAUUUACUUUACAUUGAUUUAUGAAUAUUAGAUCCAAUAUUAUUGAUUAUUAGACUAAGUUACCUUAGGGAUAACAGCGUAAUCCUCCUCCAGAGUUCAUAUUUACAGGAUGGGCUUGCGACCUCGAUGUUGGAUUAAGAUGAUAAUUAGGUGUAGCCGCUUAAUUGAUAGGUCUGUUCGACCUUUAAAUUCUU